RNAcentral lists this microRNA precursor (100 nucleotides) under Pteropus alecto (black flying fox). RNAcentral describes it as "mir-544 microRNA precursor family". It matches the Rfam family "mir-544 microRNA precursor family". Lineage: Eukaryota; Metazoa; Chordata; Mammalia; Chiroptera; Pteropodidae. The record is from Rfam by way of RNAcentral.
AUCAGAUGGGGAUCUUGUUAAAAUGCAGACUCUGAUACAGUUAAAUCUGGGGGUGGGGCCUGAGAUUCUGCAUUUCUAACAAGCUCUGAGGUGAUGCUCA